GGAGAGGUGGCUGAGUGGUCGAAAGCGCACGAUUGGAAAUCGUGUAUAUCCCGAAAGGGGUAUCGAGGGUUCGAAUCCCUCCCUCUCCACCA
Molecule: transfer RNA, 92 nt
Filed under: Candidatus Babelota bacterium
Lineage: Bacteria
Description: tRNA-Ser
Rfam family: tRNA
About the family: Transfer RNA (tRNA) molecules are approximately 80 nucleotides in length. Their secondary structure includes four short double-helical elements and three loops (D, anti-codon, and T loops).
Source: RNAcentral